UCAUUACCGAAUCGUCAAACACGGGUUGUUGCUGGCCUCCCAAACGGGGCAUGUGCACGCUCUGUUUACGCAUCCACUCACACCUGUGCACCCUCUGUAGUCCUAUGGUUCGGAAGACCCUGUCUUCCUUCUGUAGCUCUACGUCUUUACACACACGCCGUAGCGAUGUCUCAUGGAAUGUUUUUAUGCGUUUAACGCGAUACAAUACAACUUUCAGCAACGGAUCUCUUGGCUCUCGCAUCGAUGAAGAACGCAGCGAAAUGCGAUAAGUAAUGUGAAUUGCAGAAUUCAGUGAAUCAUCGAAUCUUUGAACGCACCUUGCGCCCCUUGGUUAUUCCUUGGAGCAUGCCUGUUUGAGUAUCAUGAACACCUCAACUCUCACGGUCUUCUGUGAUGAGCUUGGACUUUGGGGGUUUGCUGGCCCUGCGGCCGGCUCCUCUCAAAUGAAUCAGCUUGCCAGUGUUUGGUGGCAUCACGGGUGUGAUAACUAUCUACGCUCGCGGUCGUCUGCCAGGUAACCCUCAGCAAUGAAGGUUCAUUGGAGCUCAUAAACGUCUCUCCUCGGCGAGGACAACUUUUGAACGUUCGAUCUCAAAUCAGGUAGGAUUACCCGCUGAACUUAAGCAUAUCAU
Molecule: ribosomal RNA, 632 nt
Filed under: Thelephora sp. D6
Lineage: Eukaryota; Fungi; Basidiomycota; Agaricomycetes; Thelephorales; Thelephoraceae
Description: eukaryotic LSU rRNA
Rfam family: 5.8S ribosomal RNA (bases 209-363)
Source: RNAcentral